AACGAACGCUGGCGGCAGGCCUAACACAUGCAAGUCGAGCGAGGUAGCAAUACCUAGCGGCGGACGGGUUAGUAACGCGUGGGAACGUGCCCAAAGGUACGGAAUAGCCUCGGGAAACUGAGAGUAAUACCGUAUGUGCCCUUCGGGGGAAAGAUUUAUCGCCUUUGGAUCGGCCCGCGUUGGAUUAGGAGUUGGUGGGGUAAUGGCCUACCAAGCCGACGAUCCAUAGCUGGUUUGAGAGGAUGAUCAGCAACACUGGGACUGAGACACGGCCCAGACCCCUACGGGAGGCAGCAGUGGGGAAUCUUAGACAAUGGGGGAAACCCUGAUCUAGCCAUGCCGCGUGAGCGAUGAAGGCCUAGGUUGUAAAGCUCUUUCAGCUGGGAAGAUAAUGACGGUACCAGGCAGAAGAAGCCCCGGNUAACUCCGUGCCAGCAGCCGC
This 442-nucleotide ribosomal RNA is filed under the name uncultured bacterium. Its description in RNAcentral is "bacterial SSU rRNA". It matches the Rfam family "Bacterial small subunit ribosomal RNA", at positions 29 to 518 of the family's 1533-position model. The record is from RNAcentral.